Molecule: ribosomal RNA, 229 nt
Filed under: uncultured bacterium
Lineage: Bacteria
Description: partial 16S ribosomal RNA
Rfam family: Bacterial small subunit ribosomal RNA
Source: RNAcentral
UACGUAGGCGGAAAAUUAAGUGCCUUGUGAAAUCCCACGGCUUAACCGUGGAACUGCAGGACAUACUGGUUUUCUUGAGGCAAGCAGGGGUGCAUGGAACUCUGGGUGGAGCGGUGAAAUGCGUAGAUAUCCAGAGGAACGCCAGCGGAGAAAUCGGUGCACUGGGCUUGUUCUGACGCUGAGGAGCGAAAGCGUGGGUAGCGAACAGGAUUAGAUACCCUGGUAGUCC